CGGAGGAAAAGAAACCAACAGGGAUUGCCUCAGUAACGGCGAGUGAAGCGGCAAGAGCUCAAAUUUGAAAGCUGGCCCCUUCGGGGUCCGCGUUGUAAUUUGCAGAGGAUGCUUCGGGUGCAGCCCCCGUCUAAGUGCCCUGGAACGGGCCGUCAUAGAGGGUGAGAAUCCCGUCUGGGACGGGGUGUCUGCGUCCGUGUGAAGCUCCUUCGACGAGUCGAGUUGUUUGGGAAUGCAGCUCUAAAUGGGUGGUAAAUUUCAUCUAAAGCUAAAUACUGGCCGGAGACCGAUAGCGCACAAGUAGAGUGAUCGAAAGAUGAAAAGCACUUUGAAAAGAGAGUUAAACAGCACGUGAAAUUGUUGAAAGGGAAGCGUUUGCGACCAGACUCGCCCGCGGGGUUCAGCCGGCAUUCGUGCCGGUGUACUUCCCCGUGGGCGGGCCAGCGUCGGUUUGGGCGGCCGGUCAAAGGCCCUCGGAAUGUAUCACCUCUCGGGGUGUCUUAUAGCCGAGGGUGCAAUGCGGCCUGCCUGGACCGAGGAACGCGCUUCGGCUCGGACGCUGGCGUAAUGGUCGUAAAUGACCCGUCUUGAACCACGGACCA
RNAcentral lists this ribosomal RNA (602 nucleotides) under Aspergillus fumigatus. RNAcentral's name for it is "partial large subunit ribosomal RNA". It matches the Rfam family "Eukaryotic large subunit ribosomal RNA", at positions 51 to 668 of the family's 3401-position model. Lineage: Eukaryota; Fungi; Ascomycota; Eurotiomycetes; Eurotiales; Aspergillaceae. The record is from RNAcentral.